Non-coding RNA from Cercophora newfieldiana, 113 nucleotides. The record is from the annotation of a GenBank genome assembly. NCBI's taxonomy places the organism in Eukaryota, Fungi, Ascomycota, Sordariomycetes, Sordariales, Lasiosphaeriaceae.
UCCCCCGUGGCGCAGCUGGCUAGUGCGUCAGACUGUUACUCCUCUCUUCUCCCAUGAGAAAGAGAAUGGAAAAAGACAUCUGGAGGUUCUCAGUUCAAUCCUGAGCGGGGGAG